UGGAUUCAAUGGAAAAAGAAGUGAAGAGAGCAAUGCCUAACCAGACAGCUAGAGUUAUGCCACUCGGGAUUUAUCCAAGAUUGAGGUUGUCCCACUGCAACAUUAAAAAUUAAACAUUAAACUCCACGGCGGCAAAUAUAUCAGUUUAACAGUCGCUAAAACUUCCCCUUUCUUAAACCUUUCAAAAACCCUCCUCCACCACUCACGAUGGCUUCAACUGUCGACCCUCCAAAAUCAUUCAAACCCUACGAGCUCAAAUACACGCUCUCCGGCCACAAACGCGCCAUCUCCAGCGUCAAAUUCUCCGACGACGGCAGACUCUUAGCCACCUCCUCCGCCGACAAAACCGCCCGGACAUGGUCCCUCUCCGACGGCUCUCUCCUCCACGAAUUCGAAGGUCACGAACAGGGCAUCUCCGACGUGGCAUUCUCCUCCGACAACCGUUACCUAGCAACUGCCUCCGACGACAAAACUGUCCGAUUAUGGGACGUUACUACCGGUUCCCAUGUCAAAACCCUAACAGGUCACACAAACUAUGUGUUCUGUGUUAACUAUAACCCUCAAUCGAACUUGUUGGUUUCUGGUUCUUUUGAUGAGACUGUUAGGUUAUGGGAUGUGAAGACUGGGAAGUGUCUUAAGGUUCUGCCGGCGCAUUCAGAUCCUGUGACAGCUGUAAAUUUUAAUCGGGAUGGGUCGUUGAUUGUGUCAAGUAGCUAUGAUGGGUUGUGUAGAAUCUGGGAUGCUUCAACUGGGCAUUGUAUGAAGACCAUUAUUGAUGAUGAAAAUCCACCUGUUAGUUUUGUCAAGUUCUCCCCCAAUGGCAAAUUUAUACUCGUUGGCACUUUGGAUAAUACUCUGAGGCUUUGGAACUUCUCGACAGGAAAAGUUUUGAAAACUUACACGGGCCAUGUCAACUCAAAGUUCUGCGUUUCAUCAACAUUUUCCAUAACAGAUGGGAAAUAUAUUGUUAGUGGUUCCGAGGAUAAUUGUGUAUAUCUGUGGGAGCUUCAGUCAAGGAAGAUAGUUCAAAAAUUGGAAGGUCAUACUGAUACCGUAAUUUCUGUAGCAUGCCACCCCACACAGAACAUGAUUGCUUCUGGUUCUCUUGGGAAUGACAAGACAGUGAAGAUCUGGACUCAGGCUCAGGCGGAAAACAGUGAAGAUAUGACUUAAGCAUUUGUGCAUAAAUCAGGUGAUGUAGCAGAAUAACUGCAUGUUACUUGCCUUGCAUGUGAGAAUCGGUUAUUAUCAGUCUCUACAUGAGUUUGCACCUCCACACGAAUGAGCUUUUCGUAGAUCAGAAGAAAUGCAGUAGCAUAAGGAUGGCUGAGUUUGCUUUAUUGCUCGGACUGCUACUUUAGGAUUAAGGUUGAUGCUGUCUGUCUCUGGGAUUCUGAUUUUUAAGAUGAUGUGGAAAAUAUUUCUGGUUGUUAGAACUUAAAUAAUCUUAUUAAUAUCUGUAUAAGUUUAACAAGUUUUGGUCUAGGCUUCUUUUUUUAGUCAACAUUAUGAAGUUGUGCCUUUUUUUUU
RNA transcript from Nicotiana tabacum (common tobacco), 1530 nucleotides. It is a transcript of the gene named COMPASS-like H3K4 histone methylase component WDR5A, with no coding region annotated. The record is from RefSeq and is a predicted model, not a curated record. NCBI's taxonomy places the organism in Eukaryota, Viridiplantae, Streptophyta, Magnoliopsida, Solanales, Solanaceae.